Molecule: ribosomal RNA, 739 nt
Filed under: Ditylenchus myceliophagus
Lineage: Eukaryota; Metazoa; Nematoda; Chromadorea; Rhabditida; Anguinidae
Description: SSU rRNA
Rfam family: Eukaryotic small subunit ribosomal RNA
Source: RNAcentral
UUUGGAUAACUGUGGUAAUUCUAGAGCUAAUACAUGCACCAAAGCUCUGACCUUGCGGGAAGAGUGCAUUUAUUAGAACAAAACCAGGCGGCCUUCGGGUCGUUUUUUGUUGACUCAGAAUAACUAAGCUGAUCGCAUGGUCUCGUACCGGCGACGUGUCUUUCAAGUGUCUGCCUUAUCAACUUUCGAUGGUAGUGUAUGUGACUACCAUGGUUGUGACGGGUAACGGAGGAUAAGGGUUUGACUCCGGAGAAGGGGCCUGAGAAAUGGCCACUACGUCUAAGGAUGGCAGCAGGCGCGCAAAUUACCCACUCUCAGUAUGAGGAGGUAGUGACGAGAAAUAACGAGACCGUUCUCUUAGAGGCCGGUCAUCGGAAUGGGUACAAUCUAAACCCUUUAACGAGUAUCUAUGAGAGGGCAAGUCUGGUGCCAGCAGCCGCGGUAAUUCCAGCUCUCAAAAUGCAUAGAAUUAUUGCUGCGGUUAAAAAGCUCGUAGUUGGAUCUGUGCCGCAGGACUCGGUCCGCCUUCGGGCGCGCACUGAGCUCCUCGGCUUUUCUGCUGGUUUUCCCGUUAUGGUCUUAACCGGCCGUAGCGGGUGGCUGGCGAUUUUACUUUGAACAAAUCAGAGUGCUCAACACAGGCGUUUCGCUUGAAUGUUCUUGCAGGCUUCUAAAGAGGAUUUCGGUCCUAUUUUUUGGUUUAUAGGCUGAAAUAAUGGUMMAMGGUCCGAUCCCCCAC